GUGCAAGCGUUAUCCGGAAUCAUUGGGCGUAAAGCGCCUGUAGGUUGUUUAAUAAGUCCGUUGUUAAAGACUAGGGCUUAACCCUAGGAAAGCGAUGGAAACUGAUAGACUUGAGUAUGGCAGGGGUAGAGGGAAUUUCUAGUGUAGCGGUGAAAUGCGUAGAUAUUAGAAAGAACACCGGUGGCGAAAGCGCUCUACUGGACCAUUACUGACACUGAGAGGCGAAAGCUAGGGGAGCGAAAGGGAUUAGAUACCCCUGUAGUCCUAGCCGUAAACGAUGGAUACUAGAUGUUGUGCAAUUUGGACAGUAUCGUAGCUAACGCGUUAAGUAUCCCGCCUGGGGAGUACGCUCGCAAGGGUGAAACUCAAAGGAAUUGACGGGGGCCCGCACAAGCGGUGGAGCAUGUGGUUUAAUUCGAUGCAACGCGAAGAAUUUUACCAGGGCUUGACAUACUACAGAUUUUUUUGAGAAAGAAGAGUGCUUUCGGGAAUGUAGAUACAGGUGGUGCAUGGCUGUCGUCAGCUCGUGUCGUGAGAUGUUGGGUUAAGUCCCGCAACGAGCGCAAUUUUCGUUUUUAGUUGCUAAUUUAUUGGGAUCUCUAGAAAGACUGCCGGUGACAAACCGGAGGAAGGUGAGGAUGACGUCAAGUCAGCA
RNAcentral lists this ribosomal RNA (655 nucleotides) under uncultured marine haptophyte. Its description in RNAcentral is "bacterial SSU rRNA". It matches the Rfam family "Bacterial small subunit ribosomal RNA", at positions 532 to 1195 of the family's 1533-position model. Lineage: Eukaryota; Haptophyta. The record is from RNAcentral.